CUCCAAGGCUAAAUACUCCUGACUGACCGAUAGUGAACCAGUACCGUGAGGGAAAGGCGAAAAGAACCCCGGCGAGGGGAGUGAAAAAGAACCUGAAACCGUGUACGUACAAGCAGUGGGAGCCCCACCACCAAAGCAUUUGCUGUACCGCGUUGACGGAGCGAAGCGACGUCAAACCGAUAAAACAGCAGUGUAAAGUGAGCCGCAGGGCGCUUUGCGCGACAGCGCAAAGGCAGGCGGUUUCGCGUAGCGAAAGCGAAUGCUUUGGGGUGGGGUGACUGCGUACCUUUUGUAUAAUGGGUCAGCGACUUAUAUUCUGUAGCAAGGUUAACCGAAUAGGGGAGCCGGAGGGAAACCGAGUCUUAAUUGGGCGUUAAGUUGCAGGGUAUAGACCCGAAACCCGGUGAUCUAGCCAUGGGCAGGUUGAAGGUUGGGUAACACUAACUGGAGGACCGAACCGACUAAUGUUGAAAAAUUAGCGGAUGACCUGUGGCUGGGGGUGAAAGGCCAAUCAAACCGGGAGAUAGCUGGUUCUCCCCGAAAGCUAUUUAGGUAGCGCCUCGUGAAUUCAUCUCCGGGGGUAGAGCACUGUUUCGGCUAGGGGGCCAUCCCGGCUUACCAACCCGAUGCAAACUGCGAAUACCGGAGAAUGUUAUCACGGGAGACACACGGCGGGUGCUAACGUCCGUCGUGAAGAGGGAAACAACCCAGACCGCCAGCUAAGGUCCCAAAGUCAUGGUUAAGUGGGAAACGAUGUGGGAAGGCCCAGACAGCCAGGAUGUUGGCUUAGAAGCAGCCAUCAUUUAAAGAAAGCGUAAUAGCUCACUGGUCGAGUCGGCCUGCGCGGAAGAUGUAACGGGGCUAAACCAUG
Molecule: ribosomal RNA, 871 nt
Filed under: Salmonella enterica subsp. enterica serovar Enteritidis
Lineage: Bacteria; Pseudomonadati; Pseudomonadota; Gammaproteobacteria; Enterobacterales; Enterobacteriaceae
Description: partial 23S ribosomal RNA
Rfam family: Bacterial large subunit ribosomal RNA
Source: RNAcentral